RNAcentral lists this ribosomal RNA (254 nucleotides) under uncultured bacterium. Its description in RNAcentral is "partial 16S ribosomal RNA". It matches the Rfam family "Bacterial small subunit ribosomal RNA", at positions 524 to 776 of the family's 1533-position model. The record is from RNAcentral.
UACGGAAUGUGCAACCGUUAUUCGGAAUCACUGGGCUUAAAGAGUCCGUAGGCGGCAUGUUAGGUGAGGUGUGAAAUCCCCCGGCUCAACCGAGGAAUUGCGCUUCAAACCGGCGUGCUAGAGGAAGAUAGAGGUGGGCGGAACUGAUGGUGGAGCGGUGAAAUGCGUAGAUAUCUGGAGGAACACCGGUGGCGAAGGCGGCAUCCUGGACCAAUUCUGACGCUGAGUGAGCGAAAGCCAGGGGAGCAAACGGG